Molecule: unclassified non-coding RNA, 595 nt
Filed under: Hevea brasiliensis (rubber tree)
Lineage: Eukaryota; Viridiplantae; Streptophyta; Magnoliopsida; Malpighiales; Euphorbiaceae
Source: RNAcentral
UACACACACACACAAAUUUAAGAUAAAUUAAUCAAUGAAGUGUAGAAAAGGGGGGAAAAAAGGUUCCUUUGGUGUAGUGUGAGGCAACAAUAGUGUACGAGGCAUUCCUAAUAGGAAUGAGGACUAAUGCGAGGUUAACUGUUAUAUUUAAGAUUUAAAAUACAUUUCUUACUCUGCAAAAUAUCCAGAUUAAAGCAGACCUGCAAGAUUCUUUUAACCAUAGUUUUGUGAAUCAGACCUAAAUCUUCCUAUCCUAAGGACAUGUUUAGUAUGAUGUAAUCAAAGGUGUAAUAUAAUCGUGGUUACAUUGCAUAUUUGAUUACUUUGUUUGGUAACGCCAAAAAAUUUGAUGUAAUGAAAUGAUACAUAAUGUAAUCAAUUACACUUUAAAUAACGUAAUGAUUACUGCCCCCUUACGCUGACAUACAUGUGAAGGCCUGUUAAACAUAAGUAUAGAAUGGAUUACCGUGAUUCCUGAUCCCUUUGAAAAAUUGAUUGAACUUUGAACGUUUUGCCCCUCUGAUGGACAUGGUAUUGUUUUAAUCUGCAUUUUACUGCUAUAAUCUUCCACAGGGAUGAAGAAUAUGAUCGAGGU